AGGGCUUGUGCCGCGGGGUUAUAAAUUGGCUGCUUCCAGGACGCUGAUGGCUGGGAGGAGUGGCUGCUAGUGUUUCCAGAACACCAAAGCACUAGGCAACUGCUUUCAAACCCACCGCAGAUGGAUUCUUUGCCGCAGCAACUAUCAGAUUCCAAAGAAAUCACCGUUGGGAAGUUGGUGUCCACAUCAAAAUCGCAAGCUUCUCACCAAAGUCUGAUUUAUAAGCAAGCUGUGAGGUUCUUGCAGCACACAGUAUCUGAAUUAAUUCUUCUACCUGGAGGUGCAGUGGUAGAUUCCCCUUAAGUAUCAAAUUUGCCUCGUAUCCAUUUCCCACAUGGAGAAAGCAUAUUAAAAGUUGAACGUCUCCCUGCUGAGGUUCCCUGCCACCCAAAGGGCCACCUGCCAUGGGCAUACUUAGGGCCUAUAGCAUAUUGGAUUGAUUAUUAGAUAUGUCAGUUGAUUCUCUCUGCUGUCGGGAACAACCGCGAUUAAAAGAUUCUCAGAGCAUGCCUUUACCGUUUCUGUGCACGGGACAGUCCCCUAUAGUCUGCCGCAGGCUGCAGGACAACUUGGAGCAGUUUGCACUGUCUGACUGCUGACUGUGCGUGAAGUCCCUGGACACCAGCUCUGACAGUGUCUCCUGUCAAUCAGCAUUCGAGGCUGGGACUUCUCUUCACUCUCCCGACCCUGGACCCACAGACAUUUCCUAGUGACAGCUUUGUGAUUCCUCUGCGCCUUGCCACCGUGAUAUUCUGAGAAGACAGUUCCAAAGGGGCCUCUGUGUGGGUGGUAGGGAGGAAGAAUCCAGUCUAGUCACCUGUCACUCAGCGGAACUCUGCCACCUUCAUCUUCACCUCCAUGGUUUGAAUGAAGAUAAUGCAUGAAGCAUGUGUCGCCUUCACUGUAUAUGGCCUUAAUCUAUUUUCCAUUGCUAUCACAAAAUAAAUGGGAGUUGGCUAUU
Molecule: long non-coding RNA, 961 nt
Organism: Mus musculus (house mouse)
Lineage: Eukaryota; Metazoa; Chordata; Mammalia; Rodentia; Muridae
Product: predicted gene, 36567
Exons: 3
Source: RefSeq, a predicted model, not a curated record